This 368-nucleotide transfer-messenger RNA is filed under the name Caryophanales. Its description in RNAcentral is "Lederbergia_A citrisecundus Standard tmRNA". It matches the Rfam family "transfer-messenger RNA". Rfam says of the family: Bacterial tmRNA, also known as 10Sa RNA or SsrA, is named for its dual tRNA and mRNA-like properties. Its role is to liberate the mRNA from a stalled ribosome. Lineage: Bacteria; Bacillati; Bacillota; Bacilli. The record is from RNAcentral. RNAcentral also lists the same sequence under 1 other name.
GGGGACGUUACGGAUUCGACAGGGAUAGUUCGAGCUUGGGUUGCGAGUCGAGGGGAUCGUCCUCGUAAAAACGUCAAAGCCAAUAAUAACUGGCAAAGAAAACAACAACUUCGCUUUAGCUGCUUAAUAACAGUUCGAAGCGGUUCCUCCCUCCAUCGCCCAUGUGGUAGGGUAAGGGACUCACUCUAAGUGGGCUACGCCGGAAGUCCUCCGCCUGGGGAGCAUGGAAGAGAAUAAUCAGGCUAGCGCUUCAGCUGCCCGUCGAUAGGCGAAAGAAGACGCGAAACCACAAAAUAUAUUGACUACACUCGUAGACGCUUAAGUGGCGAUGUUUCUGGACGUGGGUUCGAUUCCCACCGUCUCCACCA